UACAGAGGUCUCAAGCGUUGUUCGGAUUCAUUGGGCGUAAAGGGCGCGUAGGCGGCAGGGUAAGUCGGGUGUGAAAUCUCAGAGCUCAACUCUGAAAUGGCACUUGAUACUGCUCUGCUAGAGGAGUGGAGAGGAGAUUGGAAUUCACGGUGUAGCAGUGAAAUGCGUAGAUAUCGUGAGGAAGACCGGUGGCGAAGGCGGAUCUCUGGACAGUUCCUGACGCUGAGGCGCGAAGGCCAGGGGAGCAAACAGG
This 253-nucleotide ribosomal RNA is filed under the name uncultured bacterium. RNAcentral describes it as "partial 16S ribosomal RNA". It matches the Rfam family "Bacterial small subunit ribosomal RNA", at positions 524 to 776 of the family's 1533-position model. The record is from RNAcentral.